This 1005-nucleotide long non-coding RNA is filed under the name Heterocephalus glaber (naked mole-rat). Its description in RNAcentral is "lncRNA (ENSHGLG00100026480.2)". Lineage: Eukaryota; Metazoa; Chordata; Mammalia; Rodentia; Bathyergidae. The record is from RNAcentral.
CCGGUUCUCACUGCGAGACCAGCACGCGGGAGCCGUGGCUCGCAACCCCUGGAGUUGUAGGCCCAGGCGUUUCAGCCUCCGCAGCUCAGCUGUGGGAAGGAAGGGGCACAGCGUGGAGGGCGGACUGGCCGGUGUCCUCGCGGCCAGGUCGAGCUGGGGCCCCGGGAGGAGGCGGGAAGCCCGACUGCUCGCCGCCUCUCGCUGCCCAGGGUCGAUGCCAGGCUCUGGCCCGGGGGCCCGCAGCUCCCAGCCUUUCUCGGCCACGACUGCAGGUCCCUGGGCCAUGGCUGGAUACGCAGAAGUUCACAGGAGCAGGUGGAGUUGGGGCAGUUGGCCCAAGAGUGACCACAUCAGUACAGAGAAGAAGUAACUACUUCCCCAGAUUUGCAGCCACAUGACAUGUGAAGCUGGGGCUGGCACGCAAGCGUGUUCUCCUGCCACCCCGGGCCUCCCUGUCUGCAGUGGGUGGGUAACGGCCCCCACCGACAUCCCGCGUUGAUCCCUGGCCUUGGAAAUGUUAUCUUAUGUGGCGAAGAAUUUGCAGUGAGAUUAAGAUAAGGAUUUGAAGGAGGACUCCAAAGCAAGAUACUGAGAGAUUCACCACCAGCGCCAGCCCCUGGAGCAGAGGCCUAAACAUCUCCAGUCUUUGCCUGAACCUGCUGUCACCAUGGAUUCCAGCAGAGCCUCCUCAGAGUGGAGACAGCCCCGGAAGACACAGCCACCUCACAGAGACCAAGCUGUCCCCACAGUGAGAAGGAUUUCACUGGAGCUGCAAACCAGACCGAGGCAGUGAUCAGCAGGCCCUGGCCUGCUCAGCACCCCUCUGUGGCGGGCUGCUCCUCUUCGGACAGGCCAGCCUGGCUUCCUUUGUCAGGAGCUGAAGUCCUCCCUCUGUUUGCUCUCACUCUCCUUUGUCAAGGGACCAUCUCAUCCUUGACUUUUCUCCCCCUCAAGCCAAAGUCCCUUCUUAUUCUCUGUAACUUUCCAAUUAAAGCUUGGCUGUAA